RNAcentral lists this long non-coding RNA (2340 nucleotides) under Calidris pygmaea (Spoon-billed sandpiper). Its description in RNAcentral is "lncRNA (ENSCPGG00000001795.1)". Lineage: Eukaryota; Metazoa; Chordata; Aves; Charadriiformes; Scolopacidae. The record is from RNAcentral.
AGAAAACGAAUCUUUCUGUAUCACUGUCUGACUUUUGAAAGAUGAGAAAAAUAAAUUAAUUUCCCUGUGUGCUUGGGACUCACUGUCUUUCCUCCUGAUGAAAUUCACAGGAUACAGAUUUCCUUCCAGUGACGUAAGGAGAAUCUUUCUGAUCUUUCUGUGUGCUCCAGCCAGACUACAUGACUUUAAUUUUUAUUUUGGGGGGUGGGGCUUCUGCAAACCUGCCAGAGGUUUUGCCCAGUAACUGCAACUGGUAAAUUGCCAUAAGCACGGGAAUGUCUCAAGAGAAAAGAUGAGAUAAACACUUUUCUACCCUCAGCGGUACCAUGGCUCUUCCUUUGGUCUAAACGUCUCUCCACCUUACACUGCCAUCAUCUGACAGAGGAUCUAGAGAGAAUAAAAAUACUGUUAAACAAAAAGUUGUUUAUGUGACAAGAGAAAGAAAACAGCCUCAGAGGAACAUUAACGCUUUCUGAUGCUGUCACUGCAAGACAGCAUAGGACAGCAUGCACAGCACAGUGCAGGGCAAUAAGAACCAGAUAAUGUUGGGCAAGAAGGAACCUCUUGACAGCAUAUGUACAUAUUAAUAUUUGAUGGAGGAGGGGAAGGAUUCAGAAAUAUUUCCUUCAGCUGGUGCUGUAUUUCUUACAAAACAAAACCCCCACAAACUCUGUAAGAAAGCAGCAUGACAGAAAACUUAAGCCAUCAAGUAGUUGUUAAGUCAUUUAACAUCUUUAAAAUAUUUUUCCCCUCCAGGUCAUAUAAUACAAAGAGACACCGCUCUCCAACCCUACCAUGGAUUCUUUUACUGUAAAAUAAACUUGGAUUUGUGUCUAACAAUCAAUCUUGGAAACUAAAGUCCAUAUACACACGAGAGAGGACUGUACACCUCCCCAUCAAUAUGCCAUACAAUGGAAAGGAAAAGCCAUGCUGUGGGGAUGAUUUUCAAUACACGUUGAAGGCUUCCAGCACUUUUUACAACCAGUUAUCGUACCAUACAUAUCCAUCAUACCCUUAUGCAAGGUAUCACUCAGCCUCGCUGUGUCCAUCAAAGGGAUCUUGGUUGCAAAAUUCAGAACUUAUUAAUUCCUGCACAGCACAAGAAGACAUGGAUAUCUCUUUUCAGUGGAGAUAUAAUUAAAAGACACACAUAAUUACUGUUAGAAAAUAUUUCAAGGAAACAUUAGUGUUUCACUAGGUGAUGUUUGUUUAUAGGUAAUAUUCGGAGCAGUCUUCUAGGCUCCCCUAAGAUUAAAUCAAAACAGUUCACCAGUAAAAAGAUGCCUCCAUUUUUCAGCUAAGCAUCUGAUAUCUUUGCAAUUUCACACAACACUGAAAACUUUUUUGUUAAUGCUUUAAACCUAAUUAUAGGUUUGAAUAUAGUUUCUAUGCAUUGAGGUCAGUACAAACCUGAUAAAAUCCUCACUAAAGGGAAGAACAUCUGAUUAAGUCAUAUUGAACUUGCUUAUUAGAUGAACGGAAGGCAUUGCAAAACGUUCACUCAGAAAGAAACAUUUUCUUUCUGUAGAUUUUCUUGUGGAAAGUUUUUUGCUCUUACAUCUUUAUCAAAAAACCUCUCUGGAUAUGCUAGAACAGCUCUUUGAGUGGAAACACAUUUUCUAGAAUGAGUUACUUUUUUGUUUAUUCCAACAGAAAAAGGAAUAUCUUCUUCUAGAAUAUAAGGAUUAACAUGAGCAGCGAUAGCUGACAAAAUUCAUGCCUACUCUAACACCGGUAUUAUUCCAAAUGGAGAAGUACUACAUUUCUUUCGUAAUGCAUUUCUUUUGUAACACUUGGAGGAGACAGUUGAUAAGGGAAAACUUGGCAACCUACAGUUGUGUGGUACCUUUUGCAGGAAUACAUCCACUAGCCCCAGCAUCACGGCUAUACUGUUUGCACAAUAACUUUCUGCCUAUCCCAAUUCCUAUUUCAAUUACAACUGUAUGAGAGAGAUUCUUAGUGUUUUCUCUACUGUUAAACAGCUGUUGCAUUUUAGUGUUGGUGAAAGAGUUUUCCGUUUUUUUAAUGAAAGUGCUUUGGGAUGUCUCUAGCUGAAAGAUGGCAUAGAAAUGCAAAUUAUACUUAGCCAUAUAACUCGGAAUUACCUUUGCUUUUUAUUCUUGACCUGUAUCUGUUUAUAAAACAAUCCUGAAAAACAGUUACAUUAUCCCUUACAUUAUGGGGAAAACAAGAGAUAGGACUGCCAGCUCUUACACGAAUGUUGUAAUCCAAUGAAUGUUCAUGCUGAAAAGUAUCUCCUUUAGUGAAUUUUUUGACAAAACAAUUUCAUUUCAUUUAUAAACUUAGAAAAUAAACCCCAACAUAUUCAUAUUGAAAGCA